Molecule: non-coding RNA, 124 nt
Organism: Triticum aestivum (bread wheat)
Lineage: Eukaryota; Viridiplantae; Streptophyta; Magnoliopsida; Poales; Poaceae
Source: Rfam
AUGUUACUCCCUUCAUCCGGAAUUACUUGUCUUGGAAAUGGAUAAAAAUGAUGUAUCUAGAACUAAAAUACGUCUAGAUACAUCCAUUUCUCCGACAAGUAUUUCUGGAUGGAGGGAGUAUAUG